This 1040-nucleotide long non-coding RNA is filed under the name Mytilus galloprovincialis (Mediterranean mussel). The record is from RNAcentral. Lineage: Eukaryota; Metazoa; Mollusca; Bivalvia; Mytilida; Mytilidae.
AUGAAUUGAAAAAAACAAAAAAACUAAACAAGAUAAAUUGUCAACUGAAAAAAUGAUUAGCAGUAGAAAAUAAAUAUAAAAUCUAUUCUAUUCUUGUCUUCAAUGUUUGAAUGUGGAUGAUUAAAGAUACAUAUAGACCUAGGUGAGCGACACGUGCUCUUUAUUAGAGUUUCUAUCUAAUGAUUUGAGGAUUUUUCUCUAACGAUGCCUCCCUUGAUGGAAUGCAGCGAACUUCUGAUAAUGUAGAUUUGAAGAUAUUAUCAAAUGUACUUGUGCAUGGAUAGCAAUUAUCUAAAUAAUGCUACCCCUCUUCAAAAUCGCAGAGCUUAAUCAAGUUUUAGAGAGAAACGUACUGUUAAGAUAUAUAUUUUUCUGUUGAAUUAUUGCUUAUGGUGUACGUGUAUACUAUCUAUUUGUAGUAAAUAAGAUUGUAGUCUUGAGUUGAGUAUUGUUACUUGAAUUGAUUGUAGGAUGGAAUUUUGAUUUUAUUUUAUUUGCACAUAAAUACAUUGUAGUUUGCAAAUCACUGUGUAAUGGACAAUGAUAUAUUGUAUUUGGCAAUAACGUUUGUCUGAUUGCUAUUCUUCUUUCAUUUUGUUAAAAAAGACCCAUCUCAAUCGAUUUUUUUGGUUAGAUUUGAUAUGAUAACUUUAACAAAAUUACAAUAAUUCAGAUGUUUUUGGUAAAUGUCGGGUCAAUAUCAAUAUGAAAAAAUAGGUGUAAUCAAUGGAUUUACUGCUAAUACAGCCAUAAUCUGAUAUUAAUUGUCAUGGUCGUAGCAGAUAUGCAGAUAUAAUCAUAUAGCAUAACUAGAUGUGUAUGUCUGUAGACCAUAGACAUGUGAUGGACUAAGAAAAGAAUCCUGGGUAUUUAACUACAGUGAAAAGCUGAUGAUCAUAACUCAAGGUAUCAAUAUAUUAUGAUGAAAACUCAUAAUGGGUACCAUGUCCUCGUGAUUUUUCAAAUAUAGUAAAGAUACAAACAAUAUCAUGACCAGAAAAUCAAUAAAGAAAAUCAAAAUAAAAUCAAAAAAGAUUUAA